Molecule: non-coding RNA, 963 nt
Organism: Phoenix dactylifera (date palm)
Lineage: Eukaryota; Viridiplantae; Streptophyta; Magnoliopsida; Arecales; Arecaceae
Source: RefSeq, a predicted model, not a curated record
GCGGCUGGUUAUUUGAUCUUACAGCAAAUGCCUACGGCUUUUUUUAAAACUUUCCACCGGGUCGGAUCCCAGCUGGCAAUCGGUGCUGCUAUUUCACCGCCCUCCCACUCCCUCUCCCGCUCCUCCCUCCUCCUCCUCCUCCUCCUCCGCCCCUAUCCCUGCCUCUCCUCCACGCCCUUCUUCUUCCCUCUUCGCCCCUCCGAGGCCCUCGCCACCGUCGGCGGCGCCCCGAUCCCCACCCUUGCCGCGGAUCGCUCCAAAAGAGGCCGCUUCGUCGCUGCCGUCGCCGACCGCGAUCGCGGGGGAUCCUGCGGUCAGGGAAGUCGAAUUGGAAGGGGAGGCGGCGACGGCGGUGGUGGAGGUGAGGGUUCCGGUGGCGGUGGAGGCGGAGGUGGUGGUGACGGUGAAGGGGGAGAACGAAGGGGGAUCGGAUGAGGAUAAGAAGUAGAUGAGCUGGAUGUCCAUGUCGCAGAAGCUGACGCUGGGUUAUGCUGCUCUCUUCGGAGUUUUGUGAUCAGAGUUGAAGCUAGUACAGAGGAGACGAUAGCCUGCUCAUUCAUUAGUAACGUUGUAUUCUUCUGAGGAUUGUGUAUGCAAAGUGAACGAUCAUUUCUUUGAAUGAUGUAGCACAGGAGCUAUUCAUAUUCUUGGCAAAAGAACAAUCAAUUGCAAUCUUGAUAAGGUCUAUUUGGAUGCAUGGCCACACUGUAUGUUUUUGCCAUCUCUAAGUAGAUAUUGGCAAAAUGCAGUUCCCAAAAUAAGAAGCCAUUGAAAGAAUUGUUGUUGGAUUUAGAGGUAUUGAAUGCGCCGUUUCAGUUUGAUUACAACCGGAAGAGUCUAUUGAACUGUAAUUCUUACUGUUGUAGACUUGUAGUUUCAAUAGAUUACUGUAAUGAGAUCUUUAAAAAGGCCUUCUUGUGCAGCUUACAACAGUAAGAAUCAUUAGUUAGUGAUUUUGUAUUC